UUUGGAUGCUGAUCUAGAAUCCUUAUUUUUUUAAAUAUUAACAACCACCUAGCCCACCAACUUUGACCAUGGAAUAUAACUAAGUAGCCAGAUCAGUUAGACCAAAUAUUAAGUUUCCACACUGUCAUGCCACCACUCUACAUUGUUUUUUUUCCCUUCUUAUCACUUCUGUUUUCUUGAUUUCUCAUACAAAAUCAAUCAUCACUUCAAUGGAGAAAGUGAGUUUCAGAAUAGAAGUCCUCAGCAGACACCUAAGUCAAAAAACAUCAACUCCCAAGUAUACAUUCCAAUCAGUCCCAUGUCUUAGCUACAAGCCACCUGAGCUUUCAGAACCAUCUGCUGUUUUCAACAUAAAAGAGAUGAGAAAGCUCGUGGAUGGUCACAAUUUGAAGGAAAGGGAGUGGCUUUUUGGUCUGAUGUUACAAAGCAAUCUUUUUAACCCAAUAGAAAGGGGUGGCAAAGUGUUUGUUUCCCAUGAUUACAGUCAGUCUAAGGAACAACAAAGGGAAAUUACCAUGAGGAGAAUUGAGUACCUUCUUGAACAUGGGGUUUUCAAGAAAUGGUUUACUGGUAAAGGGCCUGAAAAUGAGUGGAGGAAGUUAGCUUUCUCGGAUUGUGUUGGCGUCUUUGAUUAUUCACUUAGCAUCAAGCUUGGAGUCCAUUUGACCCUAUGGUAUGUUCUUGUCCAUUGUGUGCCUAUUUUUAAUAUCCGGAAGUUAGUGGCCUAACUAAUUUGCAUACCUCUCCGGUAGGUCCCAACUAAGGGAGAAGUUAUCUAUUCUCGAGGCCUGAACUCGAGACGUAUGGUUGAGGGGGAGACAUUUGGUUAAGUGUGGCGUCCACUAAGAGAUAAGUUCUUCAUUCCCGAGAGUUGAACCCUUGGCCUAUGGUUAAGGGUUAGAAUUGUAGUUAAGACUUAAGAGGUUCUUCAUUUCUAAGACUUGGUAGAACCCGACUCUUGUGGUUAAGUGCAAAACUUUGGUUAAGUGUGAAGGGGGUCACCUCCAUCCCACCUCACCUCUUGAUGGUCCGAAUGAUAAAUUGCUAUAAUGGUUGUUGUUACUGUUUGUUUUUCACUCAAAUUAGUUGGGAUCAAAUAUAUGAAUCGGCUUUGUCUAUCUCAGAGAACUCAUAAUUCCACUCUUUUUACUAUGGUUGUCAUAAGACAUUAUUAUUGAAUAGGAAUAAGAAAGAGUAUAAGUAGACAUUAAAUUUUCCUGUACGGACAUUCUUGAUUGCUUGAUUGAUUGGUUAAAGAAAGCUUACUUGGCAACUUUAGACCACCCAUCUGUGGAGGGUAGGAUGUACGCAAACCCUACCCCUGCCUUUGUGGGGUAGAUAGUUUGUUUCCGGUAGACCCUUGGCUCAAAACAAAAGUUUUUUAAGCAAGGAAAAUGCAAUAGAAAAAUAGCAAAAUAGCAAGAUACAAAGCAAAUGAAACAACAGACGGUACCACACAUUGAAAAAUAAGAAACAAAGCAAAUGCUAACUAGUACUACCACUACUAAUAGGAGGGGUAUUAUAUAAUUUUUUGAAUUAAUUUAAAUUGAAAAGUAUUAUAUAAAUUAGAAAGUCGUUUGUUUACAUUGAUGGGAUGUAUAAGAAUAUUUCAUGAGAUCCAUUAUCCCACCUUUUGUAUGAAAUUGCUAAUUUCACCAUUUUGUACAAAAUUAUUUUUGGAGCUAAUCAACAUCUAUAUUCAAAUAUGUAUAAAUUAGAAAGUCGUUUGUUUACAUUGAUGGGAUGUAUAAGAAUAUUUCAUGAGAUCCAUUAUCCCACCUUUUAUAUGAAAUAGCUAAUGUCACCAUUUUGUACAAAAUUAUUUUCGGAGCUAAUCAACAUCCAUAUUCAAAUAUGAGACUGAGUUGUUGUUCGGUAGCUGGUUAGAAUUAUGCAGGUAUUAGCUAUUCUAUCCUCUACUCCGUAUAAGAUAAUACACCAAUUCCCUCAUAACUCAUACAUGUAUUAGUUACGAGUUUCUAAAUUGCAAACCAAACUUCAUAUUAGUUUUAAUCACGAAUAAUUUAUUUCCUAAUUAACUACCAAACAUUGUAUAACUUAUACAAAAUUUAAUAAAUAUAUAAAUUGCUUCUUUACUAGCUACCAAACGACGACUGAUUGUUUGUUAUUGUAGUUGUCAGUCAACUAUGAGGUAAAAUAAUCAGACAUUUUGAAAUUUUCAGCUAUUGAUGUAGCCUCUUUGGAUGCUGAUCUAGAAUCCUUAUUUUUUAAAUUAUUAACAACCACCUAGCCCACCAACUUUGACCAUGGAAUAUAACUAAGUAGCCAGAUCAGUUAGACCAAAUAUUAAGUCUCCACACUGUCAUGCCACCACUCUACAUAGUUUUUUUCCCUUCUAUCAUUUCUGUUUGCUUGAUAUCUCAUACAAAAUCAAUCAUCACUUCAAUGGAGAAAGUGAAUUUCAGAAUAAAAGUCCUCAGCAGACACCUAAAUCAAGAAACAUCCACACCCAAGUUUAUACUCGAAUCGUUUCCAUGUCUUAGCUACAAGCCACCUGAGCUUUCAGAACCAUCUGCUGUUUUCGACAUAAAAGAGAUGAGAAAGCUCGUGGAUGGUCACAAUUUGGAGGAAAGGGACUGGCUUUUUGGUCUGAUGUUACAAAGCAAUCUUUUUAACCCAAUGGAAAGGGGUGGCAAAGUGUUUGUUUCCCCUGAUCACAGUCAGUCUAAAGAACAACAAAGGGAAAUUACCAUGAGGAGAAUUGAGUACCUUCUUGAACAUGGGGUUUUUAAGAAAUGGUUUACUGGUGAAGGGCCUGAAAAUGAGUUGAGAAAGUUAGCUUUCUCGGAUUGUAUUGGCGUCUUUGAUCAUUCACUGGGCAUCAAGCUUGGAGUCCAUUUGACCCUAUGGUAUGUUCUUGUCCAUUGUGUGCCUAUUUUUAAUAUCCGGAAGUUAGUGGCCUGACUAAUUUGAAUACCUCUCGGGUAGGUCCCAACUAAGGGAGAAGUUAUCUAUUCUCGAGGCCUGAACUCGAGACGUAUGGUUAAGGGGAAGACAUCUGGUUAAGUGUGGCGUCCACUAAGAGAUAAGUUCUUCAUUCCCGAGAGUUGAACCCUUGGCCUAUGGUUAAGAGUUUGAAUUGUAGUUAAGAGGUUCUUCAUUUCUAAGACUCGGUAGAACCCGACUCUUGUGGUUAAGUGCAAGAUCUUUGGUUAAGUGUGAAGGGGUCACCUCCAUCCCACCUCACCUCUUGGUGGUCCGAAUGAUAAAUUGCUAUAAUGGUUGUUGUUACUGUUUGUUUUUCGCUCAAAUUAGUUGGGAUCAGAUAUAUGAAUCGGCUUUGUCUAUCUCAGAGAACUCAUAGUUCCAUUCUUUUUACUAUGGUUGUCAAAAGAUAUAAUUUUUGAAUAGGAAUAAGAAAGAAUACAAGUGACAUUUAAUUUUCCUGGACGGACAUUCUUGAUUGCUUGAUUGAUUGGUUAAAGAAAGUAUGCUUGGCAACUUUAGACCACCAGUCCGUGGAGGGUAGGAUGUACGCAAACCCUACCCCUGCCUUUGUGGGGUAGAUAGUUUGUUUCCGUUAGACCCUUGGCUCAAAACAGAAGUUUUUUAAGCAAGGAAAAUGCAAUAGAAAAAUAGCAAGAUACAAAGCAAAUGAAACAACAGAUAGUACCGCACAUUGAAAAAUAAGAAACUAAGGGAAUGCUAACUAGUACUACCACUACUAAUAGGAGGGGUAUUAUAUAAUUUUUUGAAUUAAUUUAAAUUAAUAAGUGUGAUAUUAAUUAGAAAGUCGUUUGUUUACAUUGAUGGGAUGUAUAAGAAUAUUUCAUGAGAUCUAUUAAUCCCACCUUUUGUAUGAAAUUGCUAAUUUCACCAUUUUGUACAAAAUUAUUUUCGGAACUAAUCAACAUCCAUAUUCAAAUAUUCUAAUACGACACUGAGGAGUUGUUCGGUAGCUGGUUAGAAUUAUGCAUGUAUUAGCUAUUCUAUCCUCUACUCCAUACAAGUUAAUACAUCAAUUUCCUCAUAACUUAUACAUGUAUUAGUUACGAGUUUCUAAAUUGCAACCAAAUGUCAUAUCAGUGUUAAACAUGAAUGACUUAUUUCCUAACUAACUGCCAGACAUUGUAUAACUUAUACAAAAAUUAGUACAUGUAUAAAUUGCUUCUUUACUAGCUACCAAACAAGCUCUGAUUGUUUUUUAUUGUAGUUGUUAGUCAACUAUUAUGUAAAAUAAUCAGACCUUUUGAAAUUUUCAGCUAUUGAUGUAGCCUCUUGUGGAUGCAGAUCUAGAAUCCUUAUUUUUUUAAUUAUUAUUAACCACCUAGCCCACCAACCUUGACCAUGGAAUAUAACUAAGUAGCCAGAUCAGUUAGACCAAAUAUUAAGUUUCCACACUGUCAUGCCACCACUCUACAUUGUUUUUUUCCCUUCUUAUCAUUUCUGUUUUCUUGAUUUCUCAUACAAAAUCAAUCAUCACUUCAAUGGAGAAAGUGAGUUUCAGAAUAGAAGUCCUCAGCAGACACCUAAGUCAAAAAACAUCAACUCCCAAGUAUACACUCCAAUCAGUCCCAUGUCUUAGCUACAAGCCACCUGAGCUUUCAGAACCAUCUGCUGUUUUCAACAUACAAGAGAUGAGAAAGCUCAUGGAUGGUCACAAUUUGGAGGAAAGGGAGUGGCUUUUUGGUCUGAUGUUACAAAGCAAUCUUUUUAACCCAAUAGAAAGGGGUGGCAAAGUGUGUGUUUCCCAUGAUUACAGUCAGUCUAAGGAACAACAAAGGGAAAUUACCAUGUGGAGAAUUGAGUACCUCCUUGAACAUGGGGUUUUCAAGAAAUGGUUUACUGGUAAAGGGCCUGAAAAUGAGUUGAGGAACUUAGCUAUCGCGAGUUGUAUUGGCGUCUUUGAUCAUUCACUUGGCACCAAGCUUGUAGUCCAUUUGUUCCU
Molecule: long non-coding RNA, 4909 nt
Filed under: Capsicum annuum
Lineage: Eukaryota; Viridiplantae; Streptophyta; Magnoliopsida; Solanales; Solanaceae
Description: long non-coding RNA (CANN_LNC015142)
Source: RNAcentral